Molecule: ribosomal RNA, 116 nt
Filed under: zeta proteobacterium SCGC AB-602-C20
Lineage: Bacteria; Pseudomonadati; Pseudomonadota; Candidatius Mariprofundia
Source: RNAcentral
UCCUGGUGUUCAUAGCGAAGAGGCCACGCCUGAUCCCAUCCCGAACUCAGAAGCUAAGCUCUUUUGCGCCGAUGGUACUGUAGCGUUCGCUACGGGAGAGUAGGACGAUGCCAGGA